AAUAGAUACCCAGGUAGUCCACGCCCUAAACGAUGUCAACUAGCUGUUGGGGUUUAUUAACCUUAGUAGCGCAGCUAACGCGUGAAGUUGACCGCCUGGGGAGUACGGUCGCAAGAUUAAAACUCAAAGGAAUUGACGGGGACCCGCACAAGCGGUGGAUGAUGUGGAUUAAUUCGAUGCAACGCGAAAAACCUUACCUACCCUUGACAUGUCUGGAAUCCCGAAGAGAUUUGGGAGUGCUCGCAAGAGAACCGGAACACAGGUGCUGCAUGGCUGUCGUCAGCUCGUGUCGUGAGAUGUUGGGUUAAGUCCCGCAACGAGCGCAACCCUUACCAUUAGUUGCUACAUUCAGUUGGGCACUCUAAUGGGACUGCCGGUGACAAACCGGAGGAAGGUGGGGAUGACGUCAAGUCCUCAUGGCCCUUAUGGGUAGGGCUUCACACGUCAUACAAUGGUCGGGACAGAGGGUUGCCAAGCCGCGAGGUGGAGCCAAUCUCAGAAACCCGAUCGUAGUCCGGAUCGCAGU
This 526-nucleotide ribosomal RNA is filed under the name uncultured bacterium. RNAcentral's name for it is "bacterial SSU rRNA". It matches the Rfam family "Bacterial small subunit ribosomal RNA", at positions 777 to 1304 of the family's 1533-position model. The record is from RNAcentral.